UCGGGGAACGAUAACGGCGUCGAGCGGCGGACGGGUGAGUAAUGCCUAGGAAAUUGCCCUGAUGUGGGGGAUAACCAUUGGAAACGAUGGCUAAUACCGCAUAAUGCCUACGGGCCAAAGAGGGGGACCUUCGGGCCUCUCGCGUCAGGAUAUGCCUAGGUGGGAUUAGCUAGUUGGUGAGGUAAGGGCUCACCAAGGCGACGAUCCCUAGCUGGUCUGAGAGGAUGAUCAGCCACACUGGAACUGAGACACGGUCCAGACUCCUACGGGAGGCAGCAGUGGGGAAUAUUGCACAAUGGGCGCAAGCCUGAUGCAGCCAUGCCGCGUGUGUGAAGAAGGCCUUCGGGUUGUAAAGCACUUUCAGUCGUGAGGAAGGUAGUGUAGUUAAUAGCUGCAUUAUUUGACGUUAGCGACAGAAGAAGCACCGGCUAACUCCGUGCCAGCAGCCGCGGUAAUACGGAGGGUGCGAGCGUUAAUCGGAAUUACUGGGCGUAAAGCGCAUGCAGGUGGUUUGUUAAGUCAGAUGUGAAAGCCCGGGGCUCAACCUCGGAAUUGCAUUUGAAACUGGCAGACUAGAGUACUGUAGAGGGGGGUAGAAUU
Molecule: ribosomal RNA, 600 nt
Filed under: Vibrio campbellii
Lineage: Bacteria; Pseudomonadati; Pseudomonadota; Gammaproteobacteria; Vibrionales; Vibrionaceae
Description: bacterial SSU rRNA
Rfam family: Bacterial small subunit ribosomal RNA
Source: RNAcentral